GUCUAUACAAAAAUUUGUUUCGCCCACUACAUAUUACAUUGCAGUGGUUGUAUAAGGGGUUCAGUAUUAUCGAUAAUAAUCGUUGUGGAUAAAAAAGAACACGGACAAACUCUCGAGAUGGCUUUGUUUCAAGCAAUGAGGGUUUAUUGUAUGCCCGUUCCAAUUUCAACCAUCAUAGCGCACCGCGGUGCACUUCCUUUCGUUAGAGCCGAUUCCGCUUUAUAAAGCCGACAUCGUCAGCCUUCGAUGUGCACCGCGCGUUUCUCCUCGCUAAAAUAUAAACUGCACAAUGCAACCUAUUCUCUAGGCUGAUUCGAUUAAAUCAAUUUCUUUCUAAUAAACUAAUAAUAUUGAGGUUAGGUUUUCACUAAUCAUUUCUGUUGGUCUAUUCAUCAG
This 396-nucleotide unclassified non-coding RNA is filed under the name Bombus terrestris (buff-tailed bumblebee). RNAcentral describes it as "misc RNA ENSBTSG00005037045.1". Lineage: Eukaryota; Metazoa; Arthropoda; Insecta; Hymenoptera; Apidae. The record is from RNAcentral.